Mus musculus (house mouse) is the source of this 11971-nucleotide long non-coding RNA. RefSeq annotates it as predicted gene, 30233. The transcript is spliced from 2 exons. The record is from RefSeq and is a predicted model, not a curated record. Lineage: Eukaryota; Metazoa; Chordata; Mammalia; Rodentia; Muridae.
CUGGGCUUACAGGUAUGUGCUGUGCCACCAUCACCAGCUUAGAAAUUGUGUUUUUAAAAGCAUAUUUCAAAAUUAAUUCUAAGAUUCUAAUGAGUAAUACAUUCUUACGCCUAUAUUCCUCUCUCUCUCUCUCUCUCUCUCUCUCUCUCUCUCUCUCUCUCUCUCUCUCUCUCUCUCCCUCUCUCUCUCUCUCUCUCUGUGUGUGUGUGUGUGUGUGUUUACAAAGCUGUGUUUCUAGGUGUGGAAUUUCUAGGGCAUAGACUUCGUAUGUGUUUGGCUUUAGAAAAGCCAAAUGUUUUUCAAAAUAGUUGUGACCAGUUUAUGCUUUUAUUUAACAGGGUACAAGAAUCCCCAUUGCUACAUGUUUGACCUUGGCAAUGCUAAAAAGGUUGGGUUUUGCUUGUUGCUGUUUUAUAGGCUCUCUUCCCUUGUUCUGAGAUUUGAACCUAGGGUUUACACAUGCCAGCCAGGUGCUCUACUGCUGAGCUGUGUCUCUAGCUCUUUUGUUCCUUUCGGUUUUCUCUUUUAGAUGGUGUAAUACUCUUUUCCAAUGUGGUCUUGAACUCACCCUGUAACCCACCUAGGCCUUAAAUUUUCAAUCCUCCUUAACAUUUAGAAUAGCAAGAAGACCAGGCCUGGUUUUUGAUUGUCUUUUGAUAACUGAUUAUAAACACUCCUUAUACACUAUUUUGGACAUUAGAUAUACAUAUUGGAAAUAUUUUGCUUGGUUUGGGGCUUGUUAUUUUAACUUGUUUGUGGUAUAUUUUAGUGACCCAGUCUGUUUAAUAUUAAUAUAUGAAUUUUUUGUGUUUGAUUAUUUCUAAUAUGUUGUUUUUAAAAGAAUUCUUUCCUAACUCUGCAAUUAUUAACAUUUUUCCAUUUUUUUCUUUUUAGAACGUAAAUAUGCUCAUUUUCACAUUUAUUAUUAAAUCUAAAAGAUUUAGAAUGUUACAAGCGGUGGUAUAUUUAGGCUUUUAUGUUUCUGGUGUCUACAAACCUCCUGGUCCAUUAUGCGCCCUCUUUCGGCUGAUCUGCUGUAUUGUCUGGAGGACGACGGGCUUCCUUGAAUGUGUGGGUCCCUUUCUGAAUUCUUCACCCUGCUGUCAGAUCAAUUGCCUUAUCUAUUUAUAUUUUUAUGUCUAGUAAAUGAAGCCUAUCAGCAUCUCAUCAGCCAUUCAUUUCUCUUAAGCAGUUCCUUGGCAAUUCUUGGACAAUUCUUAGUUCAAAAGCAUGCGGCUUCCCAUAGGACUUUCUCUGAAGACACACUAACCCAGACUCCCAGCAAGUGUUGAAAUGGAGGGAGCAGACAUCUUUGCAGGGAGACCCAGCCACCCCAUUGUAUCAGCUGAAAGGUUUCUUUCCUCAGGUUGCUUUGCUUUGAUGUCUGUGUGAAAAGUUAAAUCCCUAACAGUAAAGAGUUGUUUGGGACUUCCUAACUCAUUUGUUUAAUGGGUAAUGUAUUUAUUUAAACGUUAUUGCUGUAUUAUCUUGAUGCAUAAUACAUAUACACUUCCUAGGGAGCAGACUUUAAGGGUUCUGGAAUAGCUUUGCUAUAUAUCCGUUUGUAUGAGGAAUUUUUAUCCAGCAAUAUAGCUGCUUUGGCAAGGAAUCACAUCUAAAGACCUUCUAGGUCUGUGUGAUAUGGCUGGAAUGUCACACAUUUAAUCCCUCUGGCUAGAAUAUAGACACAUCCUUAGUAGAUUCCUUUAAUUACAGAUAAUGAAGGCAAAGGUUGUAGAAGGAAGCAGCCAUGUUUGAAAGUUGCAUCUAAUUGAGGGGCAGACAGAGUGACAAAUGAGAGAAAGACUUGACAGAAGGAGUUGGAUACGCCCAACUCUGACAAGACCAGGAGUUGAAAGUCAGUUGAUGGGAGUGCAAUGCUGUUGAGUUUGUGACUGUUCAGUUCUUGGAGUUCAGAGGCAAUUUUCACUAGGACAGUUUUAUAGACAGGUUGCAGAGAGAACAAGGUAGACACAGGUGAAGACUGAAUGACCCAGAGAAUGAGAAGGAGCCAGAAGAGUAGAACCAAUUGAUAGUGUUAGUUUGAGGCCAAACAGAGCAAUUUAGUCAGAGGCUGGGAGAAGCCAGUUUGAAUUAGUCAGCUGGGAAAGGAGUUAGAGCCAGAACAGCUAUGUUGAGCCAGCCAACCAGAAUUCAGAAAGAGCUAGGGAGGGUGAGCUUAUUCAGCAGUAAGCCUCCAAGACAACAGGCGAGGAAGAGAUACUUUUACAAACUAGUUUUUAUAAUAAUAUUGAAGUUGACUAGACAGCUUGUUUCUUUUUCAUGAUUGCUAUGUAUGCUAAGCUUUGUUUUUUAAAUCAUAGAUUAUGCUUUGGAUUUACACUGGAAUUAAGUUAGAAAUCAAUAGCAGAAAAAAUAUGCAAAUAUUUAGAAAUUGAUAAAAGUCAUUUGAUUUUGGAAAUUAACAAUAAUAAAAAUUAAAGAAUAGUUUGGAUUAAAGGUAAAUAUGACAUAAUUUGUGGAACCAGCUAAUGUGCUUUAAGGGAAACAUAUGCUUGUAAAAUUAAAAAAUUAAAAAUGGGUUCACAUCUUAAGCUUCCAAUCUUAAGGAAUUCAAAAAAUAAAUUCAGAAAAUGAAAAGAACUGCUAAACAUAAUACGACUUAACACAAUGUGAGUUAAUUAUACAAUAGAAAUUGAGCAAAGAUUAGUAAUGCCUUUAGUGGUAUUGAUCAAGAAGGAAACAAGAGUUACUUAUUACUUACAUCAGGAAUGAAAACAAUAUUACUAUGAUUCUUAAAGUUAAUGAAAGACAGAGAUUAAAGACCAAAGAGAUGGCUGUUUGUAAACUGCUUGCUGCAAAUGUGAGGACUCGAAUUCAUGCUCCAGCACCCCUCUAAAUGUUAGGCAUGAUGACGUUCCCUGGUAAUCCCCAUUCUGGGGAAGCCAAGACAGCAGGAUCUGUAGGGCUUGCUGGCCAACCACUGUAGCCAUAUCACUGCAUUCCAAGUCCAGUGAGAGACUGCAUCAAAACCUUAUUUUUUUAAUUAGAUAUUUUCUUCAUUUAUAUUUCAAUUGCUAUCUGGAAAGUUUCUUAUACCCUCCCCCAGCUUUGCUCCCCAACCCACCCACUCCUGCUUCCUGGCCCUGGCAUUCCCCUGUACUGGGGCAUAUAAUCUUCACAAGGCCAAGGGCCUCUCGUCCCAAUGAUGGCCAACUCGGCCAUCCUCUGCUACAUAUGCAACUAGAGACAUAAGCUCUGGGAGAUACUGGUUAGUUCAUAUUAUUGUUCCACCUAUAGGGUUGCAGACCCCUUCAGCUCCUUGGGAAUUUUCUCUAGCUCCUUCAUUGGGGGCCCUGUGUCCCAUCCAAUAGAUGACUGUGAGCAUCUACUUCUGUAUUUGCCAGGAACUGGUAUAGCCUCAUGAGAGCUAUAUCAGGGUCCUGUCAGCAAAAUCUUGCUGGCAUAUGCAAUAGUGUCUGGGUUUGGUGGUUGUUUAUGGGAUGAAUCCCCAGGUGGGUCGAUCUCUGGAUGGUCCUUCCUUCCAUCUCAGCUCCAAACUUUGUCUCUGUAACUCCUUCCAUGGGUAUUUUGUUCCCCAUUCUAAGAAGGAAUGAAGUAUCCACCCAAUAGAGCAUAUAUUACAGUAGGCUUGGCUUAUAGGAGAAUUCAUCCUGCCACACCCUUCCCAGGAGCCUCUGGGCUAUGUUAUAUAGUUAACAGGGAAAUGUGGUCCUUUUGGUCACUCAGAAUCAACAAUACUUAGCCGGACAUGCUGGCUCUCAUCUACCAUCCUAGGAUUCUACAGGUAGAGGCAGGGGGAUCAUGACUUCAGUACCAGUCUCAGCCAUACACAGUGAGGUCAACCUGGUCUUAGAUCUUGUUACCAGAUGGAAUGUUGUAUUUAGUGUGAUAUAAACAGAAGCCAAUCAAAGCGCCAGUUGUAAAGACUAGAAUAUACUCAAAUAUUCGAAUUUUAAAGUGGUAAUUUUGAGAAUUCCCUUCAUGCUCUUGUCACAAACAAAGAUUUAAGUCACAUUAAAAGUUGACGAAUAUGCUUAAGACAAUAUGCAUGAUCUUUUUUUAGUUCCUCAAAAAGAUGAUUUUUGAAUUUUGUUUAAUUCCUAGCAAUUUUGGAGUCAUCUGAUAUCUUUCUUCCAGAAAAACAAUCUGAUGAUAUCUUUCAACAUUGGGUUACCAACAAGAAUUGUUAUAUUUAUACAUUGAUUCAUAAUUCCAGGUUUCUUCACAUUAUUUACUGUAAAGCUACAUUGAAUCUUCAUUGUUAUGCAUGUUAGGAAUGUACUCUCACGGAUGUCUUGCCCCACAGACAUUCCUACUUAUUAUAUUUCAAACUCUAAACUCCUAAAACAUUUUUACAAUGUAGUGGUUUCUUCUAUAUAAGUUAAACGUGUCACUCAUUUAUAAGAUUGCAUUUUCCUGUGUGUGCUAGACUGGAUAGUGAAAGCAUCUGGAUAACUGGUAUACCUGCUGUCUUUUUCAUCAUUUCCAUGUAUAAUAAGUACCCUUUACUAUCAUCGUUGCUUUACUCAAUAAUUCUUGCUCUUAACAUACCUUAAUUUUGUCUAGCCAUUUGUCACUUCAUCCAUCCAUCUGUCCAUCCAUCCAUCCAUCUACCCAGUCAUCCAUCCAAAUCUUAAAUAUCCUUCAACAUUCUUCUUCUGGGGUUGGGAUGAUAGCUCAUUCCAUAAAGUUUGUUCUAUGCAAAUAUCAGGACUUUGGUUUAAUCUACAGAAUUCAUUAAAAGAGCCAGGCAUAGUGGCAUAUAUCUGUAAUUCUAGUAUUUGAAUAUGUAUAAUACGAAGAAUUCCAGGUUCAGCAAGAGAGCCUGAUUCCCAAAGUAAGGUGGAGAGCAAUUGAGGAAGAUACCUUGCAUUGACUUCUGGUCUCUAAACAUGUACAUUUGUACCUGUGCAAACAUGUGCACCCACAUACAUUCAUGUAUCAUCAAAUAUGUGCACAGCCAGCCUAUAAAUAUACUAUGCACAUAUGUAUGUACAUACAUACAUACUCGAACAUAUAAACAAACAAAGAUCCUUCUUUCAACUUUGUCAGGGCACAACAUCCAAACUCUCUAUUUUGAGUCUUCACUCUUGUAAUACAUUAUAAUUAAAAUUAUGUAUUUAUUAGUCCAUAAGUGCUAUACUAGUUUGCAGAGUCUUGCCUUCAUGACUUCAUUCUCUGAUAUAUCCAUGCCCACUAUGGGUUCCAGUUUAGUGGCCUCCAUUAAGGGCAGACUUAUCAAAUAUCACACAAAGAUAUGCUAGGAAUAGAGUUAUAUUUGGGAAGUCUUUUAUAUCCUAACCUUUGCCCCAUCAUCAUAAGAAUAUUUACUAGCUAGGAGGACCAUGUCCCUCUAGGCCUUUCUCAAUCUAUUUAAUCACAAGAGGGAAGUUGAGAUCAGCCUCUUUGCCUAGAUGGUUCCUAAUUAACCCCAAAAGCAUAAUCCAUAAAUAUUUAUUGUUGAAUGACUUCCAAAGUUUUGCAUGCUUUUAUUAAAUGAGAGGAAAAUUAGUUCAUCUUUCUUAUGAAAGUCAUUGUAACCAUAGUUAAUUGACAUAAGUGUUCUCCUUCCUGUCUGCCUUGUUGAGUGUACCUCUUACUGGUCUCCUCUCUCAACACUCUCUAGCCAUGUUGUUCUUUCUAUUACCAUGUUAUGCCAAGAUCAGUUUUGGUGAGUCUCCUCCACCAUUACCUGUCAGAAGCAUCUGCCUCCUCUUCGUGUGAGCAUUUGCAACUCAUCAUGAGAUACAUCCAACUCUUAUAGCUUCUGAGGGCAUUUCCUUAGUUACAUGAGAUAAAAGAGCCCCUCAGCUCAGUCAUGUAUGACUCUGCCUACGUCCUUACAUUGUUCACCGUGCUUCUCUAUAAAAUCAUCUCACUUGUUUACAUAUUUACUGUCCAUCUCAUGCAUUAGUACUUUGUUUACUCCCCUUUGCUUGAAGAAGAGUGACAUGUAAUACACUUUCAAUGCAUAUAAUUUUAAAAGGUAUGGGUGCUUUUUCUUGUUAAGAUACAAGAUGGUACAAUAUAUGAUAGAUAGUUUGUUAAUUAUCUAGGUCUGCCGUAAAAAUGGCCUUAAAGCCAUUUGUUACCGAUGACUCUUUCUUACAGUUCCAGAAGCCACAAGUCAGAAAUCAGUGUGUGGACAGGACUGUUCUCACUCCAGAUGCUCCAGUGGGUCAUCCUUUCUUACCUCUUCCAGCUUCAGAUGACUGUUAGCUUUCGCUGGUUUGUGGUUUUCAUCGUUUUCAACUCUGCCUUUAGCGAUGCUCUUAGUGUCUGUUCUCAAUACUACUCUGCCUUUCUUCUAGAAGUAUUCAUAUAAGGGUGUUUAGUGCCCGUUGUGAUGACCCAGAAUUAUCUCCAUCUCAAAAAUCUUUAACUUAGUUAUAUUUUCAUUUACACUUCAUAAGUGUAACAUUGACAGGUUUAGGGGAUCUGAUAAUUAACUAGUAUAUGGGAGGCAGCUUAGCCUGUGAAAAUGUAUUUGAACAACAGGAGCAUCAUUUAAGGACACAUGCAAAGGGGCCUAACAUUCUCUAAGUUACCUCUCGGAGAUACUGCUUAGAUAGACAUGACCAUGUUACCUAAGAUUGUUCUGUGCUUAUUCCCUCUUUGGCAAGGCACUGGAAAUAAUAGCUAUGUUAGAACAUUGUAGAGAUUGGUGUGUAAGCACUGAGAACAGUUAAUCAGGCACUGACUGCACUUGUAGACUAACACCGUGUAUUAACUACGUACCAAGUUUCUAAAUGAAUGCUAUGUUUUAGCUAGCCAAACUAUUAAAGCAGAGACAAAAAUCAUUGCUCAAAAUCAUACAUCUAACUUGUGGUCCAGCUGAAGUUCAGUCACAGGCUGCUUCAGGGGUCUGAGUGAUGCUGGUAUUUUAAAAUUAUUACUGUGAGAAUAGAGUUGGCUCUUAACAUUUCCAGGAAAUCUAGAAGUUUCUGAUGGACAUGGGAAGCAUGAAUAUAAAUUAUGAAUCCUUGCAGCUUUGUGUUAAGUUGACCUCUUCUGGGCAAUGAUUAAUCUCACUACGUGGAUUAAGGGUACAUGUUCUAGAGACAUCCAUCUCUUUGGAGACUUAGGCAAGUAGAAUCAGUUCAUCUUUCCAUUUCUCAUUUUGCUUAAUGGAGAACAUACUUGGUUCUUUUUAGUUACUCUCCUGUUCUGAUAAAGUACUUUGACAAAACACUGUAAUGGUUUCUUCUGGCUCUUAGCUCAGCUCAAGGAUAUGGUCCAUCAUGGUGGGGAGAUCACAGUGGUAGGAGCUUAACAUCUAACAUUCACAGUUGGAAAGAAGUGAUGACUACAUCCUGUGGCUCAGGCUGUUUUCUUUCUCCACCUAAUAUAGGCUCCCAGCCAGAAAAUGGCACCACCUACACUGAGCAAUUGGCACCUCAAUCAAUACGGUCAAGGUUAUUCUCUAUUGGAUAUACUCAGAAGCUCAAGUCCCAGGUGACUCUAGAUACUCUUACCUUGACUACUUGAUGGCACAAAGCAUGACAGAGUCCAUUAGAAGUACUCUUUGAUUCUGUGGAGUGUUGCUGCAACUAUCUGUAAUAUCAGCUUUUAACAGGUCAUACAUGUUAGUGUAGAUAAUAUAUGAAUUAAGAAAAGGCCCUCUAUUAAGCUGAGUAGAAUUUGUUCCUGGCUAUUGCAAUAUAUGUAUGACAAUUAGAGUGUAAGAGAGCAGAGAGUGUAGUAGUCUUUUCUGUUCUGUUCCAGUCCCCUCCCCUUCCUGCUACCUCCUACCCUCAACAUCCCCCUUUAAAAUUUCACACCCAGAGUAGACCUUUGAAAGUGAAAAUUGCAUCAUUACACGUGUCUAUUAGAAACCUUUCCAGGUGUGCUAGCACACAUCUAUACUCCUUCCACCUAGGAGAUGGAGCUAGGAGGAUCAAGCCAGCCUAAGCUACAUAGCAAGUUUGAGGCCAUCUAUGGUUAAUGAGUUUCUGUCACCAAAAAUAAAUGAAACCUUAGGUACUGUAUUCUAAGGGUUAUGUUUCAAGGCCUUGUAACUACCCCAGUUUCUUCUCAAUCCAGUGCCAUUUCUGUUCUCUUUAGUGUUUGUCUUCAUCGUGACUGUGUUUGUAUCUCAAAUGUUUGACUUUGUAAUCCUAACAAUGCUGCGUGCUUAAAAUGCUGUUGGUAUGCUAUGUAGCUAACAGUGGCAAAACCCUUUCCUUCUCUUUCUUUAAAUAUAAUUUAGAAGUACAUUUCUCAUGUAAACAACCCACUGAUUAUCAUUCUUGGAUAUUUUUUUUCCUGUUGUGUAUAUCUUGGGUGUACUGGCAAUGGAGAUGGGAAGGGAAUGGGGAUCUUUCGUCCCCAAACAUAAUUUAAGAUUCCUCAUCCUCUACUCCAAACCCCGAGACAUUCUUCAGUGGAUGUUUAAGAAACACUAAUGGGUGCUGCAUCGCUGGGUGGCAGUGAGGCAUUGUGGUGAUACUACAGUGGCCACGUUUCAAGGUCUCGAUUGCCACGUGCUGGAGGGUGCAGAUGCAGAACAUUCUCAUCCUUGGAGGGUGCGCUGCUCCAUUCUGGCUCUGCAUUAGAACUUAGAUGCUUUUCUCUCCCCAUCAUCUCUUCCCUUCCAUCUCUAUCAAGCAGCCCCCGCCAGUCCUUUUCCCAGACUUAGGACUUUUGCUUCUGUUUUGUGGCCCAUUUGCCUUAGCUGGGGCCAUCUAUGUGAUGGUUGGAUUGGGGCUAUCCAUUAGAACCCGUCAGGAUCACUGGUGGGUGCACAGAUGAGUGCAAUGACUCUCCCCUGAAUCUAUCAGUAGCACAAGGUUCAGCAGUAAAGAGUAGGUCCCUAAGCCCACCUCCAUGGCUAACGGUUGAUAGGUUCGUUCUUGUGCACAUUGUGAGCAUGCAUCCACAGAUGCUGAGUUCCUGACUGCAAUGGAUGCUUUGCCUAGAUGAUGGCAGGUUGGAGCCCUUCUCCCUAUCUUUUGUGGCUUACAUUCUUUCCAUGCCCCCUUAUGCAGUGUUCCCUUAAGCCUAGAGGGAAUCUUCCUUUUCUCCACCCCCGCAUUUAUGUAUCUGUAGACACACUUGGGCAUUUAAGUGGAGAGGCCAGAGUAGACCAGAGUUUAAUAUCAGGUGGUUUUCUCUACCUCAAUUCACCUUACUUUUUCUCCUUAGGUUCUCUUGAUGAACCAGAAAUUGACCAAUUUGGGUAGAAUGUUUGGCUAGGACCUUGUCUUUGUGUGCCUGAAGCACAUGCUGGCUUUUUACUGGGCCUCUGGAGGAUCUGAAUUCAAGUCCUAUGUACAGCAUCAUUUUCCUCACAGACACCUCUGCCAGCCCUGUUUUAGGUCUUGCCUCCUCAGUAGGAAAUGAGAAAUUUGUGUCUCAUAGUUUCCUUAUACCUAUUUUCACUCAACAAAUGUUUUUGGUCAUAUAUUGUAUGCAAGUCACUAAACUAAGUGCUGAGAAUUUGGUUGUGGAUAAGAUAGUUUCAAGCCUUUUUGCAUGGAGCAUAUAUUUUAAUGGGAAAGGCAGUCAUUAAGUAGUCAGAUAAAUAACCAGAAUUAUAUCAUGAAAUGUAUCAUAGCUGCUAGAGUGACUCUUGAGGAAUUGACUAAUGGACACCACCAAUUUCUUAGCUACUGACAAGUUGGAAGCACAGAAAGCUGGAUAGGAAUUUAUGGCUGAGGCCUACAGAUACCAUCAGCAUUUUAGUGCAGUCAAUAAAUUAAGUGAUGUUCAGGCUGUUUUCUGUGUUUUUCUCGUUUCUGACAUAGAACAAUGAUUAUGUCAGUUGCUCUGUGGUUUAAAGCCACAGUUAUUCUGAGAGGACACAGUUGCCAUCAGUGAGCAGUGACUGAUCCAAAAGAAUUCUGGCCGAGGUCUUGCCAGUGAUGGAAAGAAACGGUAUGUUCUUGCAGCUGCCAGAAGUUAUGCUAUUCUAGCUGAUGGCAACUUUUUUUGUCUUGAAACCCUUUCUGUAUUGUGACUUGUGACCACAUGAGUGAUUGCUGAGAAAGCAGAGAGCAUGCUAAUUCAUUGAACAGCUUUUUAUCCACAGAUAACUUCAAGUUGUCUGGAUACCUCAUAGAUGCUUUUGAUAAUGACAUUCCAGAGAAUGAUGUAGAAGAUAAACCUGGAACAUUGGGGCUUUACUAUUGUUCAUUAUUUUAGUUGUCUUUCACUCUUUACACCCUCAGUGCUGUUACUCUGGGAAGUCCUAGCAGCUUUCUUUAGUACAAAGGGGGCAAAAGAACUGUAGUUCUUUUCUUGGAGAUAUUUUUUGUUAGUGUGUGUAUCUUUUUUUUUUUAAAGGUAUUUUCCUCAUUUACAUUUCCAAUGCUAUCCCAAAAGUCCCCCCUACCCACUCCCACCUUUUGGCCCUGGCGUUCCCCUGUACUGGGGCAUAUAAAGCUUGCAAGUCCAAUGGGCCUCUCUUUCCAGUGAUGGCCAACUAGGCCAUCUUUUGAUACAUAUGCAGCUAGAGUCAAGAGCUCCGGGGUACUGGUUAGUUCAUAAUGUUGUUCCACCUAUAGGGUUGCAGAUCCCUUUAGCUCCUUGGGUACUUUCUCUAGCUCCUCCACUGGGGCCCUGUGAUCCAUCCAAUAGCUGACUGUGAUCAUCCACUUCUGUGUUUGCUAGGCCCCGGCAUAGUCUCACAAGAGAGAGCUAUAUCUGGGUCCUUUCAGCAAAAUCUUGCUAGUGUAUGAAAUGGUGUCAGCGUUUGGAAGCUGAUUAUGGGAUGGAUCCCCGGAUAUGGUAGUCUUUAGAUGGUCCAUCCUUUUGUCACAGCUCCAAACUUUGUCUCUGUAGUGUGUGUAUCUUAAUCCUUGCUCCUGUUAAAUGAUGUGCCAGUGGAUGCUGACACUGUCGAUAUAAACAACCACUGGUUAUCCUAUCAGUAAUUAUCGGAAGAGAAAUACAUAGUAGAGGAACAGAAGUAAUUGGGCUGGUGUGGUGGCUUUGAAUCUUCCUGAGGACAAGACUCAGUUAAUUCUUGUUGGGUGAAUGUAGGGACUGGAUUCUUUUCCUUACAGGCAUGCGGUAUUUGCUGUAGUUCCAGCCGCUCCAGAUUCCUGCCUGGAAGGUGCUGGAAAACAGGCAAAGAUUAAAUGAUGGAUGUUGUGAUUCAGUUAUUCCCUGUAAAACCCUUUUCUUGAAGCCCCACCGGGUUGAUCUUGCCUACCUCUCAUACCAUCACCCAUCAUUGCAAGGCAUGGCAGGAAAGGAAUCCUAGCCGUCGUCAGCUGUCACGCCAAAUGAUGUAGUUUCAGUUUUUAAGGGACCUUAGUAGCAUGGAAAUUAUAUUGCAGCUAGGUAGGCUGGUGCAUGUGUUAGAGAAGGAGGGGGCGGGGAGAGAGAGACACACACAGAGACAGAGACAGAGAGAGGGAGGAUAGAGAGUUCCAGGCUGGCUUGUAAAUGUCCUGUUGCACAUUUCAAUACCUAAGUAAAGAAAUGGUGCUGGAAGCUGACCAUCUGGACAGUGGUUUCAUUGGUGAACAGUGGAGUGGACAAGAGGAAAAGCCAGGCUUAAUCCCCUUUUUAAUGUUUUUUUAUUUGGAAGUUUUUAAAAAUAAAGUCUUAGUUACUAAAAAAAGAAGUUUUAAGAGAUGUUCUGGGGGCUGGUGAGAUGGCUCAGUGGGUAAGAACACCCGACUGCUCUUCCGAAGGUCAGGAGUUCAAAUCCCAGCAACCACAUGGUGGCUCACAACCAUCCGUAACGAGAUCUGGCGCCCUCUUCUGGAGUGUCUGAAGACAGCUUCAGUGUACUUACAUAUAAUAAAUAAAUCUUUAAAAAAAAAAAAAAAAAGAGAUGUUCUGGUGUGCAAUAACUAAAUGUGCAUUAAAUGUAGCUCUACAAAAACCUGGAAAAAUGUCCAUCCUCCUGUUUAUGUUACCUAAGUUGUUCUAGUAAGCAUCAUUUAUUCAUUGCUAGUCCAGUUAAACCCACGACCUUCAGGAUUGAUCUCUCAGAGGAGAAAACUUGGUAUCAAAUAAAUGCUAUUGAAAUGGA